This is a long non-coding RNA of Ostrinia furnacalis (Asian corn borer), 1137 nucleotides long. RefSeq lists it as uncharacterized. The transcript has 2 exons. Lineage: Eukaryota; Metazoa; Arthropoda; Insecta; Lepidoptera; Crambidae. The record is from RefSeq and is a predicted model, not a curated record.
UUUUUUGAGAUUUUGGUGUCAAAUCAAAGAGAAAAAAAAUAUGUUUUAAACAUUUUUAUCAGUCGUGUAUAAAUCAGCGUGGUUCUUGAGAAAUAAGCCCUUAAAGUUGUAAUAUUUUAUCUAAGAGAGAUAGAUCCAUGAGACAUUUUUUUUCAAACGUAGCUAAGUCCAUGAGAGCCAAUCAGGUAAUUGCGUUUCUUCAACAUGGCCGCCAGUUGACGAAAACUCAGCGACCAGUGGCACCAUGCGCUCCCGCUUUUUAUUGUUUAUUUCGAUAUUCAGACAGUUCUCAUGGAUAAUUAUAUUAAAAUUGUGUCACCAACUAAAUCCCGCAAGCGGCUUAAUAUAAAAGUUCGCCUUAGGAAAGAGGAAAAAGCGAAAACUCGAAUAUUUUGGACAUAAGUAUGUUUAUGAUAUACCUAAUAUUGAGUACAUUUCUUUCUCCGAUCAAUUUUGUGUAGGUAUGUUCAUGUAAGUUUUAGAAUAUAAGAAUGCUUUGUGGAGUUGGGUCGUCUGGAUAUGUUUUGCAGUUUUUUGCUAAAUAUAAUAAAUUUGUAAAUGUAAUUAUGUGAAAUAAAAUAUUGAUCUAUUUAAAUGAUUUAUAAUAAACUAACAUUUUUUUUUCCUUUAAGUUAGGGGCUGGAAACGCACUUUAGCCAAUUGGGCAUAAUGGUCAUUGUUGGUGGAAUUGAAAUAUGUAUUAUAAAAAAUGCUUAAUAUUGAAAAUGUGAUAGGGCGACCAAUUCACGAAGAAGAAAUUGAAGAAGAUGACUGAAGAAAUAUUGAAUUUUGUUUAAAAUAAUUAAAUUGGGUACUUUCUUUUUUUAUAAAAUAAUAACUAGAUUUUCUUAUUUUGUUUUAUUGUUCUAUUCAGUUUGCUGCUACAAAUUUGACUGUCGAUGGUAUACCGCGAUUUCGUCACUACCACAUCCCUAGCUCUAAUCGUGUUUUUUCAUAACUAGAUAAAUCCGAAUCUAUUAAAUCAAAACUCUAUAAAUCCUCAUUGCGUUUUUUCAAAGUUGGAUAAAUUGCAUUCCAUUAUAUCAAAUGAAGGUAAAUCCAAACUAAAUAUUAAAUUUUUGAGAGAAUGCGUGAUUUAAAUACUGAAAUGAAUAAACAGGAUCAUUUUCUUCAAUA